This 778-nucleotide ribosomal RNA is filed under the name uncultured Neocallimastigales. Its description in RNAcentral is "partial large subunit ribosomal RNA". It matches the Rfam family "Eukaryotic large subunit ribosomal RNA", at positions 24 to 618 of the family's 3401-position model. Lineage: Eukaryota; Fungi; Neocallimastigomycota; Neocallimastigomycetes; Neocallimastigales. The record is from RNAcentral.
UAUCUCUGUAGAGUCUGCAUAUCAAUAAGCGGAGGAAAAGAAACUAACUAGGAUUCCCUCAGUAACGGCGAGUGAAGCGGGAAGAGCUCAAAUUUGAAAUCUUCAAGGUUUUACCUUGACGAAUUGUAGUUUAAAGAAGUGUUUUCUGUUGGAGUUUUGGUAAAAGUUCUUUGGAAUAGGACAUCAUAGAGGGUGAGAAUCCCGUAUUUGACCAUUAUUUCCAGCUUUGUGAUACACUUUCAAAGAGUCGGAUUGUUUGGGAAUGCAGUCCAAAAUGGGUGGUAAAUUUCAUCUAAAGCUAAAUACUGGCGAGAGACCGAUAGCGAACAAGUACCGUGAGGGAAAGGAUGAAAAGAACUUUGAAAAGAGAGUUAAACAGUACGUGAAAUUGUCAAAAGGGAAGCGUUUGACACCAGUGUUGUUUUCUACGAAAAUCAAUUAAAUGGCUGGAUUUGUUGUAAGCUUAAGACUUUAUCAGCUUGUCUGCUAGCUCUUUCCUGUCUUUGUGAAUGCACUUUUCGUUGAACAAGUCAACAUCAAUUUCUUUUGUUGUAAAAGGGUCAUUGGAAGGUGGCUUUCUUUUCGGAGAAAGUGUUUAUAGCCUUUGGCCUCUGCAAUCGGAGAGAUUGAGGUCUGCAGCGUAGAUCCUUCGGGGUUAGAUACAUUUGUGCUAAGUUAUAGCCUUUCAUAGACAACUUGUUGACUAUGAUCAGUCAUGUAGCUUACUCGCUUAUGCUAUUUUACCUACGCUUAGGAUGUUGAGUCAUCACACAUCUCU